CCAGGUUCCUGGCCCAUGAGAAAGGGAUAUCAGUUUAUCUGAUAUGUGGGCCAUGUGCCCACUUCGAUAUUAAAUUUAUUUUUUGUGGGGAGGGUCCAGGGCCCUCAAGCGUCGUUUGGGCUUUGCACUACAGCCCUAGCCUGGCGCAAACCAA
RNAcentral lists this small nuclear RNA (154 nucleotides) under Setaria italica (foxtail millet). Its description in RNAcentral is "U2 spliceosomal RNA". It matches the Rfam family "U2 spliceosomal RNA". Rfam says of the family: U2 is a small nuclear RNA (snRNA) component of the spliceosome (involved in pre-mRNA splicing). Complementary binding between U2 snRNA (in an area lying towards the 5' end but 3' to hairpin I) and the branchpoint sequence (BPS) of the intron results the bulging out of an unpaired adenosine, on the BPS, which initiates a nucleophilic attack at the intronic 5' splice site, thus starting the first of two transesterification reactions that mediate splicing. The record is from Rfam by way of RNAcentral. Lineage: Eukaryota; Viridiplantae; Streptophyta; Magnoliopsida; Poales; Poaceae.